RNAcentral lists this ribosomal RNA (372 nucleotides) under uncultured organism. RNAcentral describes it as "bacterial SSU rRNA". It matches the Rfam family "Bacterial small subunit ribosomal RNA", at positions 526 to 896 of the family's 1533-position model. The record is from RNAcentral.
CAGAGGGGGCAAGCGUUGUUCGGAAUUACUGGGCGUAAAGGGCGCGUAGGCGGCCUUCUAAGUCGAACGUGAAAUCCCCGGGCUCAACCCGGGAACUGCGUCCGAUACUGGAGGGCUUGAAUCCGGGAGAGGGAUGCGGAAUUCCAGGUGUAGCGGUGAAAUGCGUAGAUAUCUGGAGGAACACCGGUGGCGAAGGCGACAUCCUGGACCGGUAUUGACGCUGAGGCGCGAAAGCCAGGGGAGCAAACGGGAUUAGAUACCCCGGUAGUCCUGGCCCUAAACGAUGAAUGCUUGGUGUGGCGGGUAUCGAUCCCUGCCGUGCCGAAGCUAACGCAUUAAGCAUUCCGCCUGGGGAGUACGGUCGCAAGGCUG